RNAcentral lists this transfer RNA (64 nucleotides) under Microcebus rufus (brown mouse lemur). Its description in RNAcentral is "tRNA-Ser". RNAcentral also lists the same sequence under 3 other names. The record is from RNAcentral. Lineage: Eukaryota; Metazoa; Chordata; Mammalia; Primates; Cheirogaleidae.
AAAAGAGAGUGCAAUAAUAGAACUGCUAAUUCUAUUUACCAUAUAUAAAAAUAUGGCUCCCUUG